CCUACGGGGGGCAGCAGUGAGGAAUAUUGGUCAAUGGACGAGAGUCUGAACCAGCCAAGUAGCGUGAAGGAUGACUGCCCUAUGGGUUGUAAACUUCUUUUAUAUGGGAAUAAAAUGUUCCACGUGUGGGAUUUUGUAUGUACCAUAUGAAUAAGGAUCGGCUAACUCCGUGCCAGCAGCAGCGGUAAUACGGAGGAUCCGAGCGUUAUCCGGAUUGAUUGGGUUUAAAGGGAGCGUAGGUGGAUUGUUAAGUCAGUUGUGAAAGUUUGCGGCUCAACCGUAAAAUUGCAGUUGAAACUGGCAGUCUUGAGUACAGUAGAGGUGGGCGGAAUUCGUGGUGUAGCGGUGAAAUGCUUAGAUAUCACGAAGAACUCCGAUUGCGAAGGCAGCUCACUGGACUGCAACUGACACUGAGGCUCGAAAGUGUGGGUAUCAAACAGGAUUAGAUACCCGUGUAGUC
This 460-nucleotide ribosomal RNA is filed under the name uncultured bacterium. Its description in RNAcentral is "partial 16S ribosomal RNA". It matches the Rfam family "Bacterial small subunit ribosomal RNA", at positions 338 to 795 of the family's 1533-position model. The record is from RNAcentral.